This 221-nucleotide non-coding RNA is filed under the name Candidatus Sulfopaludibacter sp. SbA3. Lineage: Bacteria; Pseudomonadati; Acidobacteriota; Terriglobia; Bryobacterales; Solibacteraceae. The record is from RNAcentral.
AGAGUCCGACAGGAAAGGAGCAGCGAAUCCAUCCUGACCCCAAGUCCUGCGGGGCGCAUCGCAAGGUGUGAUCCGAAGCGUGGACAGGGGCAGCGACGGGCAGGGUAUAGAGCUUCUAAAACUACAAACUGAGGUCGCCGACCCUGUCGUCUGUAGGGGAAGGCAACACGCGGUCACGGCGGUACAUCGCGAGCCGGACGGCGGACCCACGUACGCGAGCC